Botryobasidium botryosum FD-172 SS1 is the source of this 97-nucleotide non-coding RNA. The record is from the annotation of a GenBank genome assembly. NCBI's taxonomy places the organism in Eukaryota, Fungi, Basidiomycota, Agaricomycetes, Cantharellales, Botryobasidiaceae.
GCCUAUGUGGUCUAGUCGUAUGAUACUCCCUUCGGGUUAACACCGCCUUCACGGGCAUGAUUGGGAGUGGUCCCCGGUUCAAUUCCGGGCAUGGGCC